CCUACGGGAGGCAGCAGUGGGGAAUCUUGCGCAAUGGGCGAAAGCCUGACGCAGCCAUGCCGCGUGAAUGAUGAAGGUCUUAGGAUUGUAAAAUUCUUUCAGUAGGGACGAUAAUGACGGUACCUACAGAAGAAGCCCCGGCUAACUUCGUGCCAGCAGCCGCGGUAAUACGAAGGGGGCUAGCGUUGCUCGGAAUUACUGGGCGUAAAGGGAGCGUAGGCGGACAUUUAAGUCAGGGGUGAAAUCCCAGAGCUCAACUCUGGAACUGCCUUUGAUACUGGGUGUCUUGAGUGUGAUAGAGGUAUGUGGAACUCCGAGUGUAGAGGUGAAAUUCGUAGAUAUUCGGAAGAACACCAGUGGCGAAGGCGACAUACUGGAUCAUUACUGACGCUGAGGCUCGAAAGCGUGGGGAGCAAACAGGAUUAGAUACCCUGGUAGUCCACGCCGUAAACGAUGAUUGCUAGUUGUCGGGAUGUUUACAUCUCGGUGACGCAGCUACGACAUAAGACACUCCGCCGUCGGGGUAGGUACGGUCGGCGAAGAAUUAAAACCGUUAAAACGGUAAGUUAGUACGGCGUGAGACGUCGCCGACGGACGACCGACGAGGGAGGUUAGG
This 616-nucleotide ribosomal RNA is filed under the name uncultured bacterium. RNAcentral describes it as "bacterial SSU rRNA". The stretch from base 1 to 517 matches the Rfam family "Bacterial small subunit ribosomal RNA", at positions 338 to 873 of the family's 1533-position model. The record is from RNAcentral.